UACGUAGGGGGCAAGCGUUGUCCGGAUUUACUGGGCGUAAAGAGCGUGUAGGCGGCCACGCAGGUCCGUUGUGAAAACUGGAGGCUCAACUUCCAGACGUCGACGGAAACCGUGUGGCUAGAGUCCGGAAGAGGAGAGUGGAAUUCCUGGUGUAGCGGUGAAAUGCGCAGAUAUCAGGAAGAACACCAAUGGCGAAGGCAGCUCUCUGGGACGGUACUGACGCUGAGACGCGAAAGCGUGGGGAGCGAACAGG
RNAcentral lists this ribosomal RNA (253 nucleotides) under uncultured bacterium. RNAcentral's name for it is "partial 16S ribosomal RNA". It matches the Rfam family "Bacterial small subunit ribosomal RNA", at positions 524 to 776 of the family's 1533-position model. The record is from RNAcentral.